AUACAGAGGGUGCGAGCGUUAAUCGGAAUUACUGGGCGUAAAGCGCGCGUAGGUGGUUUAUUAAGUUGGAUGUGAAAUCCCCGGGCUUAACCUGGGUUUGUCAUUCAAAACUGAUAGACUAGAGUAUGGUAGGGGGUAGUGGAAUUCCUAGUGUAGCGGUGAAAUGCGUAGAGAUUAGGAGGAACACCAGUGGCGAAGGCGACUGCCUGGACUGAUACUGACACUGAGGUGCGAAAGCGUGGGGAGCAAACAGGAUUAGAUACCCCUGUAGUCC
This 274-nucleotide ribosomal RNA is filed under the name uncultured bacterium. RNAcentral's name for it is "partial 16S ribosomal RNA". It matches the Rfam family "Bacterial small subunit ribosomal RNA", at positions 523 to 796 of the family's 1533-position model. The record is from RNAcentral.